This 408-nucleotide ribosomal RNA is filed under the name uncultured bacterium. RNAcentral describes it as "partial 16S ribosomal RNA". It matches the Rfam family "Bacterial small subunit ribosomal RNA", at positions 28 to 526 of the family's 1533-position model. The record is from RNAcentral.
GACGAACGCUGGCGGCGUGCUUAACACAUGCAAGUCGAACGAAGUGGCGCACGGGUGAGUAACGCGUAAUCAACCUGCCCUUCAGAGGGGGACAACAGGUGGAAACGACUGCUAAUACCGCACACUGAAGGUGGGGUUUGCGUCUGAUGAGCUAGUGGGAGGGGUAACGGCCCACCAAGGCGAUGAUCAGUAGCAGGUCUGAGAGGAUGAUCCGCCACACUGGGACUGAGACACGGCCCAGACUCCUACGGGAGGCAGCAGUGGGGAAGUUUGGACAAUGGGCGCAAGCCUGAUCCAGCCAUGCCGCGUGUCUGACGAAGGCCUUCGGGUUGUAAAGGACUUUUGUCAGGGAAGCGGUACCUGAAGAAUAAGCACCGGCUAACUACGUGCCAGCCGCCGCGGUAAUAC